RNAcentral lists this ribosomal RNA (327 nucleotides) under uncultured eukaryote. Its description in RNAcentral is "partial 18S ribosomal RNA". It matches the Rfam family "Eukaryotic small subunit ribosomal RNA", at positions 1470 to 1796 of the family's 1831-position model. The record is from RNAcentral.
CCCUUAGAUGUUCUGGGCCGCACGCGCGCUACACUGAUGAAUUCAACGAGCACUAACCUGUGCAGAAAUGUUCGGGUAAUCUUGUGAAAUUUCAUCGUGAUGGGGAUUGAUUAUUGCAAUUAUUAAUCAUAAACGAGGAAUGCCUAGUAAGCGUGAGUCAUCAGCUCACGUUGAUUACGUCCCUGCCCUUUGUACACACCGCCCGUCGCUCCUACCGAUUGAGUGGUCCGGUGAGGCUUUGGGAUCUGAGCGGAAAGAGCGUUUCGCUGUUUCUGCUCGGAAAACUCAGUCGAACCUUAUCAUUUAGAGGAAGGAGAAGUCGUAACA